RNAcentral lists this ribosomal RNA (607 nucleotides) under Brettanomyces anomalus. Its description in RNAcentral is "eukaryotic LSU rRNA". It matches the Rfam family "Eukaryotic large subunit ribosomal RNA", at positions 49 to 659 of the family's 3401-position model. Lineage: Eukaryota; Fungi; Ascomycota; Pichiomycetes; Pichiales; Pichiaceae. The record is from RNAcentral.
AGCGGAGGAAAAGAAACCAACAGGGAUUGCCCCAGUAAUGGCGAAUGAAGCGGCAAGAGCCCAAAUUUGAAAUCAGGCCCUCGCGGCUUGAGUUGUAAUUUGGAGACGGGAUACUAGAGAGAGGGAGGGCGACUAAGUGCCUUGGAACAGGCUGCCGUAGAGGGUGAGAGCCCCGUGAGUCGCGUGAACUUGAUCAAUUAGUGCCCGCCGAAGAGUCGAGUUGUUUGGGAAUGCAGCUCUAAGUGGGUGGUAUAUUCCAUCUAAGGCUAAAUAUUAGCGAGAGACCGAUAGCAAACAAGUACAGUGAUGGAAAGAUGAAAAGAACUUUGGAAAGAGAGUGAAAUAGUACGUGAAAUUGUUGAAAGGGAAGGGUAUUUGAUCCGACAUGGUGUUUAGCAGCGGCCCGUUCCUCGUGGAUGGGUGCACCUGGUUUACACUGGGCCAGCAUCGGUUCUGGGAGCCAUAUACGGGGCCGGCGAAUGUGGCCCUUCGAUUCUGUCGGAGGGUGUUAUAGCGCCAGCCAGACGUGGCUAUCCGGGACCGGGGACUGCGGCGAUUCUAUCGCCAAGGAUGCUGGCAGAACGAGCAAAUACCGCCCGUCUUGAAA